AGGCCGUGAUGGGGACACUUGCGUAAUAGCUCCUUGAACCUUUCCCAUGUUUCAUAUAAGGAUUCCCCGUCCUCUUGUGAGUAUGUAUUAAUUUCAGCCAUUAAUUU
Molecule: non-coding RNA, 107 nt
Organism: Helianthus annuus (common sunflower)
Lineage: Eukaryota; Viridiplantae; Streptophyta; Magnoliopsida; Asterales; Asteraceae
Source: Rfam